This 418-nucleotide ribosomal RNA is filed under the name uncultured bacterium. RNAcentral's name for it is "bacterial SSU rRNA". It matches the Rfam family "Bacterial small subunit ribosomal RNA", at positions 355 to 787 of the family's 1533-position model. The record is from RNAcentral.
UCGGGAAUAUUGCGCAAUGGAGGAAACUACUGACGCAGUGACGCCGCGUAUAGGAAGAAGGUUUUCGGAUUGUAAACUAUUGUCGUUAGGGAAGAUACAAGACAGUACCUAAGGAGGAAGCCCCGGCUAACUAUGUGCCAGCAGCCGCGGUAAUACAUAGGGGGCAAGCGUUAUCCGGAUUUAUUGGGUGUAAAGGGUGCGUAGAGUGGAGGAGCAGUUGGUUGUGAAAUCCCUCGGCUCAACUGAGGAACUGCAACCAAAACUACUUCCCUUGAGUGUCGGAGAGGAAAGUGGAAUUCCUAGUGUAGCGGUGAAAUGCGUAGAUAUUAGGAGGAACACCAGUGGCGAAGGCGACUUUCUGGACGAUAACUGACAUUGAGGCACGAAAGUGUGGGGUAGCAAACAGGAUUAGAUACCC